UUUUCAUCAAAUUGACAUAUUUCUCUUUUUCUCUCUGUCAGUAAUGUGACGAUCCCUUGCAGACCAUCCUCUGUCAACAUCGUGUCCUCUCUGAUGGAACAAGAUGCACAGAGAGACAGAGAGUGCAGGAUAUCUGCUGGUGUAAUGGACUGCAUGGAUAGGAGAGGCAGGUUGUCACAGCUUCAUAAAACCUUGGAGGAGUGUGAGACAGGAGAGCAUAGGGUGCAGUCACUGGAGAGGUUGAUUUUGAAGACAGGAACUCUCACCAGCUCUUCCUACAAAACAUGCUUACUACUUCUGUAUCACUCCAGUGCUAGUAUGGUGUAUUGUUGUAUUAGAUAGACUUACUGUCAAAGUAAGGUAGUGUUGUCUGUAACAGUUCCAGUCUAAAGAGAAGGAAGAGAGGAGAAGAGAGGAGAAGAGGGAAGACGAUAAGCCAGAGGAGAGAGUGGAAAAAGGCAAAGCGAAAUGUAAGACGAGGAAGUAAAACAAGACCUCACAGUCUGCUCAGCUGGCCUUACAUGUUCUUUGAUGGCCUCCCAGUCUCCUGCAGAUGAAACUCAAGUAUAAGUGAAAGGUUAGAUCAUUUUAAUUACAUUUUUUCAUGCAUAGAAAGAAGCGGCCAAUUCUUGAAGCCAGGGCAGGCCCUUCCAUUAGGCGCUAUAGGCAAAUGCUAGGGGCGCUCGUGUGCAUGUGUUUUUUUUGUUUUUUUUUUUACAAAUGAGCAAUUAAUAAAUAUGAAAACAUGCAAAGUCCACGUAAUCAUAACUUCAUUGUUUAAUAAUAUUAGUCAAAUUAAUAAUUAUUAUAAUAACAACACACAACACCUAUCACCUCUGCACACCUCGUUACUGUUUCUCUGUGAGGAAAAAGACAACGCCACAGAGUGAGUGACAUCUCCCCGUAAAGAUGUCUAAAAGGCAGAAGUCCUCUGGUGCCCAGGGCAGAAAAAGGAGAAAAGAGGAGGAAGAAAGGUGGCGAACAGAGGUAAUAUAAUAUGGUGAAUUAAACAUAUGUAUGUUGUACAGUAAAAGUUCCCUUCAGAAAAAUAGUUACUAGCUAGCAACUGAUGGCAUCAGUUACCCCCUUCCCUAAACUCAUUAAAGAAAAGACCCACCCGCCAUUUGCACUAAAUAAGCAGGUCUUAAUCCUCCUUGAUUAGAGACUCUCUACAAUAAGCAGAAAGUUGUUCUCUGCACUACUUUAUGUAAAAUAGUUUUAAAAUAUUUUUUGUGCAACACCUUUAUAUUUAUUUAUUGUUAUAUGGAUAUAUUUAUAAUUAAUUUACUUUUUAUUUGUUUCUUUAAUACUGAUUUUACUGUUUUACUGUUGUUUUCGUUCUAAAAUGAAAAAAACUCAAAAACAUAAAGCUUUGCAGUGUCUGUGUGAGUGUAUAAACCCGAUGAUUGAUGAUGCAGGGGGCACCAACCAAAAUCUCGCCUAGGGCACCACAUUGGUCAGGGCCGGCUCUGCUUGAAGCCCCUCUCUUAGUCAACUUCAGAAGAAAAAUAACAUGUCUUGUUGUUGAAAGAGAAUAUCAUUAGAUACAGGUAGGAACCCAGAAGGAACAAGAACCAUUCCUUAAUAUCUGCAGUAUUCAGCCUUAUUAAAAUUCUUAUCCAUGAAAAAGGCCAUUAAUGGGGGUGGGUAUGACACUGUCUUUUAUGUAUUUACUUAUUUGGUUAAUCAUCUAUUUACAUACAGAUCUUUACCAGUGCUUUGCAUGUCUCAUCUAGAAAACAAACUGUCCAGCCUAUGACCAGCUGCUGGUAAUCCCUUCCUUGUUGCCGGAACCGUUGAAAAACCUCAGACACAGGUAGAAGGUGCGAUCAUUUUCAUUCAUUGUUUCCAUACAUGGAUAGACGUGGCCCUUUCCUGCAGCUCCUUUGUUGACCACAUUUCAUAACUUUUCAAGGCUUAGGACAGAAUGUAUACAUAUAUUGCUUUCAUUACACCCAUCCCAAGCCUUAAAAGGAAUUUCGACUGUUGGUCUGUUUUGCCUCACAGUACAAAAUCAAGUGAGGUGUCUGAAGGUUGAAUGUUGAUGGGCCACAGUUUUAUAGCUGC
Molecule: long non-coding RNA, 2067 nt
Organism: Pygocentrus nattereri (red-bellied piranha)
Lineage: Eukaryota; Metazoa; Chordata; Actinopteri; Characiformes; Serrasalmidae
Source: Ensembl